Dermochelys coriacea (leatherback sea turtle) is the source of this 187-nucleotide long non-coding RNA. RefSeq lists it as uncharacterized. NCBI's taxonomy places the organism in Eukaryota, Metazoa, Chordata, Testudines, Dermochelyidae. The transcript is spliced from 3 exons. The record is from RefSeq and is a predicted model, not a curated record.
CUUGGCAAAACAUGGCAAAAUCGGUGCUCAGACAAUCCAGGAUUUUUUGGAAAGGGUAGGAGAUAAUUUUCUGCUGCAAGUGCUGGAGGAACCAACUAGGGGCAGAGCUCUUCUUGACCUGCUGCUCACAAACCGGGAAGAAUUAGUAGGGGAAGCAAAAGUGGAUGGGAAUCUGGGAGGCAGUGAC